AACGCACAUGAAAAGCACCACAAUGAAAGGCUACCCAAAGCUUGCACCCACUGCCACCUUCCUGCCAUGACUGGUUAAGGCAGAAGGGACACAUUAUUUUGUCAUUACACGAUCUGAACACCCCCUUUUGCACAGAGUAAUGGAGAGGCUAGACUCUUAGACAUCCCUGGAAUGGGUCGGGACAGCAGGGGCCCAGGCUUUAGAGCUCUGGGUUGACUCUGCUCCCAUCCCCAGGAUGGAAGCGGCUACAUUGACGAGCAUGAGCUGGAUGCCCUUUUGAAGGAUCUGUACGAGAAAAACAAAAAGGAAAUGAAUAUUCAACAGCUCACCAACUACAGAAAGAGCGUCAUGUCCUUGGCAGAGGCAGGGAAGCUCUACCGCAAGGACCUGGAGAUUGUGCUCUGCAGCGAGCCCCCCAUGUAAA
Molecule: small RNA, 424 nt
Filed under: Pan troglodytes (chimpanzee)
Lineage: Eukaryota; Metazoa; Chordata; Mammalia; Primates; Hominidae
Description: retained intron
Source: RNAcentral